CAGUCUUUUAGUGAACCCAUGUCUCUAGUCUGCGAUCUUCACAUGUUUUCUUUAUAUACAAUUUCCAGGUAAUGAUACUUGGCUUGAGAAGCCCUCUGUCAUCUUUCUUACACAACGCCUACAUGUGUGAGCAAGUUGGAAUAAGCCUCUAAAAUGUCUUCCACCUUGAAUGUUUGGAUGAAGUUGACCACCUUGUAUGAUAAGUUUCUGUGGAGCAAACAGGACAAGCUAUAAAAAGAAUGCUGGCUGCCCAGUAAAAAGGACACCGGCAAAGGGGUAACAUGGCACCAUUCAGGAAGCACCAGCCUGGGAGACAGAGGACAAGGGAUAAGGGAAUAGGAUAAAUAAAUAGGUAAAGUACACCACUGCAUCAAGUCGUGAAGAUAGUGUAUAUACUGUACUUUAUGGGAGACUGACUCAAAUACUUAAUGAAGUAUAUGAAAGAACAGAGAAGGUUUCUUGAAGUGUGUUCUCUGAAUAGAAUAUUAAAGGCAGGAUGAAUGUUCACAACUAAAGGCUUAAAACUUCCACUGGACAAUUCCUGUCAGCUCAGUAAGAGCAAACCUGCCUGGGAGGUUCUACAUCCUACCCCAAAAUGGGCCACCUCCAUUGCCUGGGGAAGCGACCACUUAAUGACCCACUGAAACGAGGGUCAUAGAACUGGUCCCCUUGCAUCAGGGUAGUAGAGAUUGCAGGGAUCCCUGGGUAGCGCAGCGGUUUGGCGCCUGCCUUUGGCCCAGGGCGCGAUC
Canis lupus familiaris (dog) is the source of this 749-nucleotide long non-coding RNA. RefSeq lists it as uncharacterized. The transcript has 7 exons. The record is from RefSeq and is a predicted model, not a curated record. Lineage: Eukaryota; Metazoa; Chordata; Mammalia; Carnivora; Canidae.